UACAUGUGGGGCAAGCGUUGUUCGGAAUUACUGGGCAUAAAGGGUGCGUAGGCGGCUUGUUAAGUCAGGGGUGAAAGUUUUCGGCCCAACCGGAAAAUUGCCUUUGAUACUGGCGAGCUUGAGUGCGUGAGGGGUAACCGGAACGAGUGGUGUAGCGGUGAAAUGCGCAGAUAUCAGGAGGAACACCGGUGGCGAAGGCGGUUCUCUGGGCCUACCUGACGCUGAGGAGCGAAAGCGUGGGGAGCAAACAGG
RNAcentral lists this ribosomal RNA (252 nucleotides) under uncultured bacterium. Its description in RNAcentral is "partial 16S ribosomal RNA". It matches the Rfam family "Bacterial small subunit ribosomal RNA", at positions 524 to 776 of the family's 1533-position model. The record is from RNAcentral.